This 247-nucleotide ribosomal RNA is filed under the name uncultured bacterium. RNAcentral describes it as "partial 16S ribosomal RNA". It matches the Rfam family "Bacterial small subunit ribosomal RNA", at positions 523 to 769 of the family's 1533-position model. The record is from RNAcentral.
AGACGUAGGAUGCAAGCGUUGUCCGGAUUUAUUGGGCGUAAAGAGUUCGUAGGCUGUUUGUUAAGUCUGAUGUUAAAGACCGGGGCUCAACCUCGGAAAUGCAUUGGAUACUGGCAGACUGGAGUGCAGUAGAGGCUAGUGGAAUUCCCAGUGUAGCGGUGAAAUGCGUAGAUAUUGGGAAGAACACCGGUGGCGUAGGCGACUAGCUGGGCUGUAACUGACGCUGAGGAACGAAAGCCAGGGGAGC